AGAGCGAACGCUGGCGGCGUACUUAACACAUGCAAGUCGAACGAGGAUCAUCGGGUUAGCAAUAAUUCGGUGGUCCUAGUGGCGCACGGGUGAGUAACACGUGGGUGACCUGCCCUUGAGCUCGGGAUACCCCCUCGAAAGGGGGGCUAAUACCGGAUACGUUCCUCGGUCGAAAGACUGAGGAGGAAAGGUGGCGCAAGCUGCCGCUCUUGGAGGGGCUCGCGGCCUAUCAGCUAGUUGGCGGGGUAACGGCCCACCAAGGCUAUGACGGGUAGCUGGUCUGAGAGGACGACCAGCCACACGGGGACUGAGACACGGCCCCGACUCCUACGGGAGGCAGCAGUGGGGAAUUUUCGCAAUGGCGAAAGCCUGACGGAGUGACGCCGCGUGUGGACGAAGGCCGUUCGGGUCGUAAACCACUGUCGAGUGGAAAGAGUAGGUGUCGGUGACUAAUACCAUCGGCUAGUCUGACGUACCGUCGCGAGAGGAACGCCCCGGACCACGUACUGUCGCCAGCCAGGCCGUA
RNAcentral lists this ribosomal RNA (526 nucleotides) under uncultured soil bacterium. RNAcentral describes it as "bacterial SSU rRNA". It matches the Rfam family "Bacterial small subunit ribosomal RNA", at positions 26 to 522 of the family's 1533-position model. The record is from RNAcentral.